AUGAGAUUUUUUUUUUUUUUUUGGAUGUUGAUGUAUACGUUCCUUAUAUAUUUUGGAUAUUCUUUUUUUAAGGAUUUUAUUUAUUUAUUCAUGAGAGACACAGACACACACACACAGAGGCAGAGACGCAGGCAGAGAGAGAAGCAGGCUCCAUGCAGGGAGCCUGAUGCGGGACUGGAUCCCCGGUCUCCAGGAUCACGCCCUCAGCUGAAGGCAGGCACUAAACCGAUUAGCCACCCAGGAAUCCCAAAACAUUCAUUGCUAAAGACCAAAUCACUAUCUAUGGCUCUCCUCACCCCCAAACUGAGUAUCAUAACAUCCAGAGGUUGCAUUCUGCAUUUUAAAAUAAAAUAAGCAUGAGUUUUCUAUUUACAUGUGGCUUUGGCCAUCUAAUUGGUUGUAUUUACUUACAGAAACAUACAGUUUAAUAACCAUUACCUUGAUAGCCCAUCUCUUGUGGUGCGGUUUCAUUAUACCUCUGUGGUUUUCUAGACUUUUCUCAGGUUUAUGAUCCAAACAUCCUUUCUUCCAUAGCUCUUCAGUCAAGGAUGAAAUUUUCAUUAUUUCCAGGGAGGGAGAGGUUUGGCAGCAACUGAGACUUACGUUGUUUAUUAUGUUUUUAAUGUUAUUACUGUUAUUAGUAGUAAACAUUGAUUAAAUGUCUCUUGUGCAGUAAAUGAGGUGGGUUAUUGAAAACUGACAUCCUUUGACGGGAAGCUGCCCUCCUUUAAAAAUAUGAUAAACCCCUCUGCCUAAAGAAAAUACAGUGCUACUUACAUUUGCUUCAUGGAACUAUAAAACUCAAGACUUGGAAGAAAGUUAGUUGUCAGCUAAUCCAAAGUUCCCGGGUGGGUUCAAGUUCCAGUACAACAUCCCUUUGCUACAACAGUUCCUGAGCCUUUCCAGGAAGUAAGAUCCAUUAUUAGAUAGCCCUAAAUGUUAUAGAGUCCUUUCUUUUCUUGAGAUAAAACCUAGGAUAAUUCAUCUAAGACAAGGUUAUGGUCAAGAUAACCUCUGAAUAUUAGGGCCAUUAUUUUGAACACAAGACAGGAAUUAUUUUUAUCUGCUUCUCCCUGCACAGAGGGAAAAUGUCCAGUAAUGAGGUUAUCAAUAGAUUGCUGUGAGGCCAUUCAGCAUAAGGCAUAUGGAGAUAUCUUUGUGAUGGUCAUUCUGUAGUCUAUAGCUGGUGUUUCUUUCUUGGCCAGGAUGGGAGGGAAGAGAAAACUAAGUAUGGUAAGAGUGACUAUCUUUCCUUUGGGUAAACUCCUAACUUAUCACUAUGCUUUUACAUAGUGUCAGGUUCAUCGCGGGGAUAUCCAAGUGUGUGCACCUAGGAUUUAAAAAGAUUAAUGCACAUUGAUUAGAAUGUGAAAUCCCAAGAAAAGAACUAUCAGUAUUUUGUAUUCGUUUUCUAGGCCUGAUGUAAGAAAAUACCCAAAAUUGGGUAGCUUAAACAAUAGAUAUUUAUUGCCUCAUAAUUCUGGAGGCUAGAAAUCUAAAGUCAAAACUGUGUGGCAAGAUUGGCUCUUAUGGAGGGCUGUGAUGGAGAAUCUGUUCCAAGCCUGGCUUCUAGCUUCUGGUGGUUUGCUGGUAUUUUUGGCAUUCUUUGCAUUAUAGAUGAGUCACCAAAAUCUCUGUGUUCAAAUUCAUGUAGUGUUUUCCCUUUCUGUCAUAUUGGAUUAAGAAUUUAUCCUACUCCAGUAUGAACUCAUUAACUAAUUACAUCUACAUCAAAACUAUUUUUUAGAAAUGUCACAUUCUGACAUAGUGAAGGGAUUAAGACUACCAUAUGACUUUUUGGAGGACACAAUUCACCUAUAACAAGUAUGUAAGUAACAUGUUGAAUAUUAAAAAAAAAAACUAAUCCAUGAACCAUGGGAAUCCCUAAAAACCUAAGUGGAUGGUCAAGAAUUCCAAAUAAAAUCACAAUUAUAAGCAAAAUCCCAAAUAAAUAUAGUUGCAUAACCAUACAGUUAAUUGGAUGAGUGCUGGGAUUAAGCUUUCCUUUAUAAUGACUUUGCAUUCUCAGAUGUAAGACAGCCCUCCUUGCUGCUUUAACUUUAAUCUGUGCAGGAUCUAUGCAAAAGAACGACUUUUUUUGUUGUUCUUUUGUUUUGUUUUAUUUUGUUUUUACAGAGCUCAGCUUCAAUGAUAUAAAUAAAGGAAAAAGAGGUGCAGAUAAUCAGAACAACAAAUAAUCAAAGAAAAACAAUAUGUCAUUUUUAAUAAAAUGGCAACAGAUUUAUCUUCCAGGAUAUGGCUUGCUUAGCUUGUUUUUGUGUUACAGGAAUUUUCCAUAGGCGGUAUAUGGAGGUGGAAAAUGUAGAGUUAUGCCUUUUACUCUCUAUGUAAUUUGGAUCUUGCUAUUUUACCUUUAAAUUUAUAAUCUACAGAUGGAACAUUUACAUAUGGAAAGUGAAAAGAAUAAAUUCACUCAUAAUGUAGUGUGGUAUCCAUAGAUUUUGCUCCUGGAAUAUUAGUAUUAUUUUUGUUUUCUCUCCUCCAGAUUUUACUCCCACUCUCCUCACUAAGAAUAUGAUUGACCAUGGCCCCACCAUACAUUGGUUUUGGGCAAGGGGUGAAAAUUAUUUGUAGAGGUACAUUUGUUGAAGAAAAUGUGCAAAUGGGGAAGCCUGGGUGGCUCAGGGGUUUAGUGCCUGCCUUUGGCCCAAGGCAUGAUCCUGGGAGUCCCUGGAUCAAGCCCCACACUGGGCUCCCUGCAAGGAGCCUGCUUCUCCCUCUGCCUGUUUCUCUGCCUCUCUCUCUCUCUUUCCCUGUGUCUCUCAUGAAUAAAUAAAAUCUUAAAAAAAAAAAAAAGUUUUGUUUGCAAAUGCAGUUACAAGCACUACAUUCAGGGGUCUGAGAACAUUUAUUUUCACUUGGUAUUCAGACUUAACUACUAAGCAUAGCAAGUGUAGGUCCACAGACACAUACCUCCAGUUUUUAAAUUCCACAGCUGGGAAAACAGAAGUUUUGUGUUUUUUGUUUUUGUUUUUGUUUUUGUUUUUCAUAAACUCUGAUAGCAAAAUCUAACCUCACGUGAAUCGAUCUGGUUGUAAAACCUGAGGUCAUUCCCACUCCGUAUGAAUGUUACCAUAGAAAUGUUAACAUUCUGAUUAUUGGCCUCUCGGAGAGGUUUAAGGUAGAUGUACUGUAUUACUUUUCCAAACUCCAAAAUUCUGAAUUCCUAAGCAAAUCUGGCCCCAAAGAUUUCCAUUUAGGAAUCGUGGAUGUACGUUUCCUCUCUUAUUUUCUAGAGAAAAUUCUAUAACUUGGUAAAUGUCACAGAGGUAUUCAGUACUGUGUGAUUUUCUUUGUGUAUUUUUGUUCUUAUUCUGUAGGUAUGAAGCCAACAUCAUCAUUCAUCCAUUUUGUGAGACACAUUCUGAAAGACUGGAACUGUAUUUCCUAUAAGAGGAUUUACAGGAUGGUAAUUAACUGGGAAGUGACUCUCCACCCAUAUGCUCACAUGGUAAGUCAGAAGGUCUACCAGUAAUGCUGGUAAUGAUUUCAGUAGGGUUGCUCUUCAUUGUUGUUGGUGAUGGCUACGGGUAUUGUUAUCACGUGGGUUGCUGGAGUAAUUCAUUCGUGACAGACAAAAUAAUUUAUUAAACACCAGUGUCUUAGAGCUUGAAGACAUAAUUCAUUCUGCCAUGGUGAUGCAUAGGUACGGGAGGCUGGGAUGCACAGGGUCAGAUGAGAUUUUGGCUUUUAAGAUUGAAAAGUUCUAUAUUAGAUAAAGCAGGUCUCCCGGGAGACAGUUUCAUUAUAUCCCCAAUGUUAGCAACAUUUCUCUGAUAGACAAAAUUUUCAUUUUCCUUGUUUCAUUCCAUUGGUCCCAGCUAUAUCCUUUUGCACUGCUCGAAAUAAUUCAAUAUUUUAGCUCUUAGUAAAGGGCUCCUUUCACUUCCAUUUCCUACUCCCACAUUAUCCAAUAAAACCUUCGGCUUAAAUUUGCUAUUCUUUAAUAUCCUUUAAUUUUAUUCUCUGGACCUCAGUCUAUG
RNAcentral lists this long non-coding RNA (4004 nucleotides) under Canis lupus familiaris (dog). RNAcentral describes it as "lncRNA (ENSCAFG00040000836.1)". Lineage: Eukaryota; Metazoa; Chordata; Mammalia; Carnivora; Canidae. The record is from RNAcentral.